This is a long non-coding RNA of Peromyscus californicus insignis, 3599 nucleotides long. RefSeq lists it as uncharacterized. The record is from RefSeq and is a predicted model, not a curated record. NCBI's taxonomy places the organism in Eukaryota, Metazoa, Chordata, Mammalia, Rodentia, Cricetidae. The transcript has 4 exons.
GGACUAAACAAAUGUAUAUCCAUGCAGCGACUUCACCCAUGAGCUUGCUGAGCAUCUUCUGUUGUGACACGUGACCCAAGGAAGGGAUGCAGUAGAAGAUCAUGGUACCUAGUGAUCACUUGGUGAACACUCUGCACUAAAGUUCGUCUAGCCCCACAUCUGUGAGAGCAGGAAGUUGGGGUGAUCAAAGUGCCUUCCUGGAGGUCAUGUGGAACAUCUGUGUCUGAAGUUCUUCUGAUUCGCAUUACCUCAUGGGAUAGACUUUGCUGCAAUUUUAUCAAUCAUCAAAUUUGCUCAUAGCAAUAGACUGGUCCUGUGGUAAUUGAGAAAAAAGACAAAAAUUUUUCCACUGAAUGUUUCUGGAAGUUUUAAAGAUGAUCCUGUGAUUCUAGUCCAUGUGGAUAGUAUCACAUACACAGUUCUCUAAGCAUUUUCAGUGUGGUUGAUCGUUUUGCAUCCAUAAUUCUCUGACCAUUUUCAGUGUGGCUAUUUUGAGCUUUGUAAAAGAAGCAGAGCAGGUGAUUUUUGUCUCCAUUUCAUAGAUGAGGCAUUCUGGGGCUUAGAGAAGGUUAAAUGAUUUGCCUAACAUUUCAUGACAGACCAGGCAUUAAGACACCAGACCUUGUAACUCCCUCGUGUUACAUCAUACAGCUGUUCACCACUGUAAAUGAUUAUAUAAUCUAGCCUCUUCAUUUCACAGAGGACAAUGAGAUCCAGAGAGUCCAAGUGACUUUCCAAGGGCACAAAGGAGCAGUGUGAAGGAGUGAAAACAGACCAAGAUCAUCAGAUGGUGUGAAUUGCUGAUGCCAGUAUAUAAUGAGAAAUGUGCCGAGUGCCUGGGGUAAGCUAGAUGAUGGAACAGGGAGUUGGUGUUGGCGUAGAGCCACUGAAAGUGUCCAGGAAUCUCCAUUCCUAUGAGAAGCAUGCGGUGAGGCGAAGAAGCUUGUAUGUCCAUAGCAAUGGGCUAGCCUCGACUUUAGUCUAAGAUAUGGAGACCCAGGCCCUGAAAGGAACUGCCUAGGACCUGAGGGAAAUACUUUAGCAGUUCUAACAUUUUAGUAAUAAUAUCCUGAUCUGAGUACACAUUUUUCUGAACUGUGUGUCAGGUUCUUCUGUUUGGAGAGAUUUGCACGUGUGUGUGUUUUCCUGUGUGCAUGUGUGGGCACAUGCAUGUGGGGCUGGAAGCCAAGCACAGGUGUCGUUCCUUAGGCACUGUCCUUCUUGUUGUUUGAGACAGCGCUCAUUGGCGUGGAACUGUCAGAGUAACUCGGGCCAUCUGGCCAUUUGAGUUAUAAGUAUGUGCCACUGUGUUCUGCUUUGAUUCUGAAGAGCAAACUCAGGUCCUCAUGUUUUCAUGUCAGGCAGUUUAUUGCCCACGCCAUGUCAUUAAUCCUCGUGUUUUAGGUUCUCUGAGGAUCAUUUCUUAGUGUGUAUGUUAUAUAUUGUGAGGGUUGUAUUGUCAUCACUAAAUGAUUUGACUCCCGGUCUCUGUUGUGUUGUGAGAAGGCACCAGCUCAAGUCCUUGAAUGCAGAUUUGACUCCCAUGGAAUGUGUUACUUCCAAGUUAAUGUUUUAAGGACUUUGUGUGAUUUGCCUUGCUCCAUAUUCUUCUAUCACAGCAGCUGAGGAUGCUUUCUCUGUUACUUUGGGUUCUGGCAUUUAGAUGAUACAGGACAACACAACUCAGCCAGCUUGCCAUUGGAUUAGAUUCUAUGUAAAUGCAAGUGAGAAACAAACCCAUUCUUUCAACCACUGGGAUGGCCACAUGUACAGGAUAGCUGCAUGGCCUCAUCAGUGUGCAGGAUAGCAGUGUGGCCUCAUCAGUUCAGACUGACACUACCUACCUGGCAUUGGUUUUAAGUUUCAGAUGUAAUUUCCCCUUGUUUUCACACUUGAGACUGUUAGGUUACAACCUUAUGCACAAGAAUUGUGUGGUCUUCUUGCCCUGUGGUUUUUGCACAGUGCCUGCUUGGAGCCUUGGAUACUGGAGAGUUCUGAAUGGCACAAACUGAGUGAUAAGCAAUACUUAGUAAAGAGUGUCUACAAUGUUCAAAAUGUCAUUCAUUAUCAGGGACCCAGAAAUAAAUAAGCAGGUAACCUGCCUCAGGAAUUUACAGUUUAGCAGAGAUAGCUAUGUUCAUUUAUUCAAUAUAUAAAUGAAGGGUAUACAGUCAAUUCGUUUAUACAGACAUACUUAUUUAGGUCCAUGAUUUCUAAGUUGGUCAAGUGCUGGGGAAUCAAGUGUAGCAAAAAGAGGUGAGUUCAUUUCCUUAUGGAGUUCAUCAGCUAAAAAUGGAGAUUAAGUUAAUUAUGCAAAUGUAAAUUGUAACUAGGAUAAAGUCUACAAGGAAACAAAGAGGGGGCACUUAUUUGCUCUAUGGGCACUUACAGGAGCGUUCUGGAAAUAAAUUGGACUCAGCACCUCUUCAGACUGGUUUAAAUUCUGAUUCUGCCACUUUGAAGUAUAAGACCUUAGCCAGGGCACCCAACCUUCCAGAAAAGAGUUUCCCGUUUCGCAGGUUAGUUGUGAAGCAUACAUAAGCUUUUGUCUGUGACAAUGCCUGGAAUGUCAUGUAUGCUCAGAAAGCUUAGUUACUUUCCCCCUUCCUCUGUGACAUUGCUUCUCCAUGACCAGCUCAUCAGAGAAUGGCAAGGGAAUGGGUCUGACGGCUGGGUUAGAAAAGGCUUUAUGUAGAAGCAGCAUCUGAACUUAGACUAGAAGGAUAGAAAAGGAUUUCAUGAAGAGAAUUGUAAUGACCUGAUAAGAGAAUAAUUUUAAGUAACUAGACAUAUUUCUUAGCUAGGGUCGUGCCUUUAGAAUGGGACAGAUUCCAGUUCCAAUCAAUAAGCCAUCGUUACUUAUCCUGUGACCUUGACCAAGGUGCUCCCUUUCUCUACAUGAGAGUUUCCUUAUCCAAAAAGUAUGAGGAUAAUAUUAGAAUGAAUUCUGUAAUAUUAUGGUAAAUAUUUAAUAAUAAACACAUAUAAUGCUUAGCACAGGCCCUCAUAAUGAGGGGUACCUCAAUAUUGCUAGCAUUAUCUUACAAACAAGGAAGGCACAAUCUCUGGGUUCUUUUUUGUAGCUUUAGAUACAAACUCCAAAUGCUAGUUUAACUGCAAGGCACUGAUGUCACUGAGUUCAGCAUGAGAUUUACUGUCCCCUUAGAGUAUUAAUACCCACCAAUUAAUAGUGACAGUCACUAAACAUUUAGUACCUAAUGAGCUGCAUCUCCUCAGUAUGGGUGUAGCAUGGAAAAGGAACUGUAUGAUUUAACUUGCCAGACUUCCUUCUUGCUGGCUGGCUGUGACCUCCCCACUGGGCUGCCUGAGGGGUUGACUUCAUUUGAAAAAUACAUUUAGAAAUGUCAGUGUCUAGGAAGCUCUGAGCUCUAAAUCCUCCUUGGAACCACGAAAGCAAAGACUAUCAGAGCUGUUCUCUUCCGAAGUGAUGGGGGAUACAGCAAUGAAGAAGUUAGGAAAGGUCCUUGCUCUUUGGGGCAGAAGGAGGGAGGGGAGAGAGAGAGAGAGAGAGAGAGAGAGAGAGAGAGAGAGAGAGAGAGAGAGAGAGAGAGAGAGACAGAGAGAGAGAGACAGAGAGA